This is a long non-coding RNA of Canis lupus familiaris (dog), 312 nucleotides long. RefSeq lists it as uncharacterized. NCBI's taxonomy places the organism in Eukaryota, Metazoa, Chordata, Mammalia, Carnivora, Canidae. The record is from RefSeq and is a predicted model, not a curated record. The transcript has 3 exons.
CAGGCUCUUCACCCAAUAUGACUGGUGUCCUUAUAAGAAGAGAAGAGAAAGAGGUAGACACAGGUUGGGGUGGAAACUGAAUUCAUGCUGCCAAAAGCCAAGGAACACCAAAGAAUGCCAGAAAUCACUAGAAGGGAGAAAGCAUUUGGGUGUCAGAUGGUUUUUCAGUCGUCUGAGAUGGACAAGGAAGGAAAAACACCAAACAGAUCAUGGCCGCUAAUUAUCUACUAUAACUUCUGCAAAAAUAAAUAAAUAAAUAAAUAAAUAAAUAAAUAAAUAAAUAAAUAAAUAAAUAAUAACUUCUGCAAAGAC